Molecule: non-coding RNA, 1371 nt
Organism: Peromyscus maniculatus bairdii (prairie deer mouse)
Lineage: Eukaryota; Metazoa; Chordata; Mammalia; Rodentia; Cricetidae
Source: RefSeq, a predicted model, not a curated record
GCUCAAACACACACAUGCUGGGCUUCGUUAGGCAUGAAUCCACCUGCUUAAUCCUCCCCAGCUGUGGCUGGUGAGGUAGCUGGUUUUCUCAGCAAAAUUCUCCAAAGCAGAGUGAGGCUGAGUAAGUUUUGCUGCACAGUUGAAAAUGAGCCCACGGUGAAAGAGACAAAGGCCGGUGUGGAAUACCAGCUCCUUGGCACUCUAGAAGAUGAGACAGAUAGAAUUAGGUUCCUUCCUUCUCCAGUUGUACUGAACCAACGUGGAAUUCCAUGUGUGUUACAUCACAAUUCCCCUGUCUCUGUCUUUUCAUUGAGAGCCUAAGAGGAAGAAACUUCAGCAGGGUUGAUGGACGGAGGGGGCCACACAAUCUUGGCUCCUGUAUCAUCUCAAAAACAAACAGUGUAUGCUCUUGCUAGUGAGAGCUUGUGAGGACUCACAAAUAAGUGCUGAUUUCAUUAGCCUGACAUAAAAUUCUAUCACUAGCUAACUCCUAAGACAAAGCAAAUGAAGAGGCACAAGGUCCUGGGAAAAUUUGCCAGGCGUUUCUGUGUAAUCGGGCAAACAUCCCUUCCUAUCCAAGAAGAGUUCGGGGUUUGGGCUAAUUUUGUGUUCAUUGGGCAAACUCAAGUUGCCUGCGUGUAUCUGAGCAGCAAUAAGGCAGGGAGGCAAAUGCCCGCCACCUUGAUUGCUGACCCCGACCUUCGGUCUGCUCACACAAAAAGACCAGGUAGAACUGCUCUACCCACCAGCACAGGUGAUUAAUCACGACAGAGGCAGGCCCUCAGUUGAAAGCCAGUGGAGCGUAGCACCUGACAUCUGGUUUGUAUUAGCUAUUGCUGAAAUGCCAGUGGCCUGAAACCAUUUAGAAAACGCAGCUCUCCGUGCCCUCUGUUUCCUUACAGGCUUCUUUCUCUGUCUCCAGCUGGUAACCAAGUGGCAAAUAAAUUUAGGAAGCAGCAGCUAAUUCCUCCCUCAACAAUGCCAAGGGCCUUCAAUGCCAGGACCCUCAUACAGUGCAUUUUCAGUGGAAUUCUGUCAAUACUCUUACGUUCAUCAAGGGAAUCUUAGAAGGACAGAACAAACAUGUUGCUGAAUUUGACUGGAAGAAAAAAAAACAACUGGUUAAGAGUGUAUCUGUAAACUUUUGGAGAAAGGUUGGGUAGCUGCCUAAAAGGUACAAUAUCUUAAAAGUCCAUCAGGAAAUCUGAGGAUGGUGAAGACUGGUUACCUUUUCACCAAAGAGACAGAGUCUUGCUAUGUCGUCCAGGCUGGCACUGUACCUGCAAUCCUGUGUCUUAACCUUUCAACUCAAGUAAGAAGUAAAUUACUAUUGUGCUAAAACAAUGAUCCAUUGGAAUAUGUUGGAAGUUG